GGGGAUGGGUAAGGAAGACGGGCGUAAGGGAGUGGGAAGGCUCAGUCCUGAGGCCUCCAAGGUGGGUCAGUGGCCUCUUCUUGCAGUGGACUUUAAGACAGCGCAGCCACUUCUGGGCUCCGGAGGACCAUCUCAGGACCAAGGCAUGGUUUAGGUUCUGGCCAUCAGGUGUUAGUGGCCUUGAGCAGGACAAUGGGCACCUGAGACCUGGCUUUCCUUUGCAUGGGUACCCCACAGACUUGGUAGUCCAGUGUUUUCUGUCAUUCCCCAGCCCCAACCAAACGAAGCUUCCUUCGAAGCUUUGUGUUCUGUGCUAACUAUGGCUGUUAGCAGAACCUUCUCCCAUUCCUGUAAGCCCCAAGUCCCGGUGGCAAAGAAGUUACAACGUGGAACCUGCUCAGAACUCAAAAGACAAUGAUCAGCAGCAGAGUGGCAGAGAGGUUGGAUGGCCUUGCAGGAAGAUGACACCAGCAGAGGAGAGAGGAAAACAUAGAGCUCUCCAGGUUUUUCUGGAAAAGGAGAGUAAAGGGCAAGCAGAGGACUGUUGACCAUCAACUUCAGAAAGGCUUCCCAGCUCAACUGCUCUGGGGUUUCCCAAGUCAGGGAAAAAGUGCUGGCUGUCCAGAAAUGAAACGGUCCUGCUAAGAGCAGCAGGAAGUUGGAAACCACCAAGGGCUGCAUAAAAAGGGACAUAGGGCACCCUAAGAUGUGUGUCUAAACAAAACAAAAGAUUGCUCUAAUUUUGCUUUCAAAUGUUUGUAUGAAACAACAAGCAAAUUAGUAUAUACCUCCCCUUUGAAUUUGGGAGUCUUUAAUUUGGGAGUGAUUGUACAAGGGAAAGUUGUGUAUGCAGGGGCAAGUUAUGUGAUCACAGAUAACAAAUGUAUUAUUUCAAAAACAGCUAUGGGA
Molecule: long non-coding RNA, 909 nt
Filed under: Cricetulus griseus (Chinese hamster)
Lineage: Eukaryota; Metazoa; Chordata; Mammalia; Rodentia; Cricetidae
Description: lncRNA (ENSCGRG00015039362.1)
Source: RNAcentral